RNAcentral lists this ribosomal RNA (253 nucleotides) under uncultured bacterium. RNAcentral describes it as "partial 16S ribosomal RNA". It matches the Rfam family "Bacterial small subunit ribosomal RNA", at positions 524 to 776 of the family's 1533-position model. The record is from RNAcentral.
UACGAAGGGGGCUAGCGUUGUUCGGAAUUACUGGGCGUAAAGCGCGCGCAGGCGGGUCAUCAAGUCAGGGGUGAAAGCCCAGAGCUCAACUCUGGAACUGCCCUUGAAACUGGUGACCUUGAGUACGGGAGAGGUGAGUGGAAUUCCCAGUGUAGAGGUGAAAUUCGUAGAUAUUGGGAAGAACACCGGUGGCGAAGGCGGCCCACUGGAUCGGUACUGACGCUGAGGUGCGAAAGCGUGGGGAGCAAACAGG